ACAAGCUUGGCUAGUAUUUGCAGGCUUUCUACAUAACUUUCUACAUAACUAGCUAGCUAACGCUAGUUAACCUACCUAAAUAUUAAAUGAGGACUGCACUUUGUGUGAGAAUGCAGAAUAAUUCUUUUUUUUUUUUUUUGAUAGCAUAAAAUCCCAAAUACCCUCAGCUGACUUUGACUUGUCAUCCUCAAUUAUCAGAGUCAAAGAAAAGAUGUUAAUAUAAUGGAGCAGUUGACUGCUUUCUACAAGAAACAGGAAUGUAAGGAGACGGAGACAAAAACUCAGUUCAUAUGAAAAAAUUCAUAGUAAACCUCAGAAGCCAUAUAUAAAACAUCCUACAAAUACCAGCAUUGAUGGAUGUGGAAUUAAUUUUAAUGAUGUAACAAAGAGGCUGCAUCUGAAAAAGAUUCUUCCAUAGUGUCUAUUGAUUUGCGAUAUACUGAAUAUGAGACAAAGCAAAUGAUUACUUGUAACACAUGCCCAAGUACUCCACAUCAUGACCUACUGAAGCAAGACCCAUCCACGGAGAGAAUGGAAUGCUCACAGCCAGAGGCAGACAGAAGGAGAGGGUAUGCUGCCUCUCAAAGAUCCCCUGUUCUCAUGACUUCAAAGCCAAGUGUUUUGGGCAAUACUUUAAAAAUGUUAGUUAAAAAACAAUAUUUCUUUAUUUGUAAAUAUAUUUGUGGUAAA
Electrophorus electricus (electric eel) is the source of this 690-nucleotide non-coding RNA. Lineage: Eukaryota; Metazoa; Chordata; Actinopteri; Gymnotiformes; Gymnotidae. The record is from RefSeq and is a predicted model, not a curated record.